Long non-coding RNA from Myiozetetes cayanensis, 8042 nucleotides. RefSeq lists it as uncharacterized. The transcript is spliced from 3 exons. Lineage: Eukaryota; Metazoa; Chordata; Aves; Passeriformes; Tyrannidae. The record is from RefSeq and is a predicted model, not a curated record.
UUUUUUUUUUUGUUUAGGGUGCGUCCUAAAGCUUGGCGGCUGUUGACUCUUUUUUAUCUCUGUAUAACCAGACAACUCUUAACAGCUCAAAGGAAGGUACAAAAUAAUCAUUGAAUCAUUAAGGUUGGCAAAGAUGUCCAAAAUCAUCAAGUCCAACCUUUGAGUGAAUAACACCAUGCCCACUAAUCCAUAUUGCAAGAUAUCACAAAGUGCCACAUCCGCUCACUUUUUUGAACACUUUCCAGGAUGGUGACUCCACCACAUCCCUGGGGAGCCUUUUCCAAUGUUUAACCAUUCUUUCAGUGAAGAAAUUGUUCCUGUUACCUGACCUGGACCUCCCCUGUGCAAUAUGAGGUUGUUUCCCCUAUUGCUGGCUGCCUGGGAGAAAAGACAGACCCUCAUCUGGCUGCAAUCUCCUUUCCGGGGGUUGUAGAGAGUGAUAAGGUCAUCCCUGAGCCUCCUUUUCUCCAGGCUAAGCAACCCCAUCUCCCCCAGGUGCUCCUCAUAGGAUUUGUGCUCCAGACCCUUCUCCAGUUUUGUUGCCCUUCUCUGAACUCGCUCCAGCAUCGCAAUGCCCUUCUUGACGUGAGGGGACUGAAAUAGAGCACAGGAUUGCUCAGUGCAGCCUCACCAGUGCCGAGUACAGAUGACAAUCACUGCCCUAGUCCUGCUGGCCACAUUAUUUUUGAUACAGGCCAGGAUGCCAUUGGCCUUUUUGGCCUCCUGGGCACACGCUGGCUCGUGUUCAGCCACUGUUGACCAGCACGUCCAGGUCCUUUUCCGCUGGGCAGCUUUCCAGCCACUCCGCCCCCAGCCUGGAGCGCUGUGUGGAGUUGUUGUGACCCAAGUGCAGGACCCACCUGGCACUUUGCCUUGUUAACCUCACACUAUUGGCCUCAGCCUGUUGCUCCAGCCUGUCCAGAUGCCUCUGCAGAACCUUCCUACCUUCCAGCAGAUUGACAGUCCCACACAAUGUAGUGUAGUCUGCAAACUAAGGGUGCACUCAGUCUUUUCAUGCAGAUCAUUGACAAAGAUAUUAAGUAGGACCUGCCCCAAAACUGAUCCCCAGGGAACACCACUAGUGACCAGCCUUCAGUAGGAUGUAACUCCAUUCCCCACCACUCUCUGGGCUCAGCCCUCCAGACAGUUUUUUACCCAGUGAACAGUGCACUCAUGAGCAGGCAGUUCCUCCAAGAGAACUGGGGAAACAGUGUCAAAGGCUUUGACUGAAGUCCAGGUAAACAACAUCCACAGCCUUUCCCUCAUCCACCAGGUGAGUCAGCCUGUCAUAGGAAGAGGUGAGGCCAGUCAAGCAGGACCUGCCUCAUGAACCCCCUGCUGACUGGGCCUGAUUCCCUUGGUUGUCCUGCAUGCACUGUGUCAUUGCACCCAAGAUAAUCUAAAUACCAACAUUUAAAAAAGGUCAACACAUAAAUUUCAUAAUUUGCUCUUGUUGCUGUAUCUUGUCUUUAGUGGUCCAGGAGAAAAUAACUAUAAUCCACUGCUGCAAUGUACACCUUUUUGCUGGUUGAUUAAAGAAACAAAUGGUAGAUACUUUUCGAUAAAAAUUCUGUUCAUUCCUUUGUAAAUGGACCAUGUUCUGUUUUCUUUCAUAACCCGUGCCAUUCUGUGAAUUCAAUAUAUUAUGAAGGUUCUAGCUUUUAUAGUGGUGUUAAUAAUAAAAAUCUGUUAUUUUAAUGGUAGUUUUUACUCAAAGAAGUCCAGAGGAGCACAACUCUUUACUAAAGAAAUGCCCGAGUCCUUUACUGUCACGCUUGUGGUCUGUGCUACUUACCUGCUACCAUUACUGCUUCCUCUCUGUUUUUCUUCCUUUUCUUUCCUUAUUUAUUUACUUUUCUGGAUAAUCUAUAAGAAUUCCUUGCUUGUUUUUAUCCUGUUUAAUUCGGUCUGUUUCAUAUGUCUGUAACUGAAUGUUCACACCAAAGGGUAACAAGGUGCCCAGAUUUGACAGUCCUGUGCCAGAAACUAUACUGGACUUUUGAACAGCCAAGGUAGUUGUGGAGGCUCAAUAAAUUGUCAUCUGAGUUGGAUUCAGCUUGUAAGCCUGGCCUCUUAACUGCUGUCAUGCUAUCCCUGCUUCAGGAUGAAUGGAUUUGUUGGUGACCUGGAAAUAUAAUGUAAGACUGGCAAGUGUAGUACAGCAUACUGCUAGGAGAUAUUUAAUUUUGGAACUUACUGAAUGUGAGGUGGGUGUCAGGCAUUUUUAUCUCUUUCUUUAAUUCCUUUUUUAGGUCAGGAUCUUAGAAACUAGGCUGAGAAUUUGGGGUCAACAGUGAAACUGUUGCUGCUCUGAAGUUGCUUGGAACUCCCACGGGCCGUCUAACAUAAUGCCCUCUCAUUUCUUGGUUUCACUUAAUUCUUUUGCAUCACAAUAUCUCAGCAUUAGUAUGAUCAUAAGAAACUCAGAGGUGGAUUUAUUUUCUUUGUAUUUGAUUUGAAGUCUUGUGCUGGAGAGCUGCUAAUUCCAAGGAGGAAGUGUUUGGGAGAGUUGCUCUCUCUGUGCCUGAAUGCUUCUAUGCAAAGUGAGCGCCCAGUAGUUGCUUUGCAUAAAACAACACAGAAGUCACCAAGUUGUUUUAAUGUUACUUUCUAAAUUUUGGGAGUUAGUCUGCACUAUUACUAGCUCUUAUAUUAAGUUCAGUCUUGUUUUCAGGUAGCUGUUGGAAUAUCUCAGUUCUAAGCAGAUUUCUGUAGUGUCUGCAAUAAAAAGCCUAAAGGGCGACUUUAAUUACUCCAAGUCAGACACAAAUGCCAAGUUCCCUAGGGAUCUUAUCAAUAUCUCCUUUACAAGUUUCCUUUUGUAAUGUAUAAAUUGGAUAUUUCUGUUAAAUACCCUGGAAGAUAAUCAGUGACGUGUUUUUCUUGAUUCACAGACUCCUCUUGGGCUGACACAACUUCUCUGUGUUGGGUAGUUUGUUUGAGUGUGGGUUUUUUUUCUUCUAAUUAGAUUUACCAAAAAGGCCAAGUAUAAGUAUAUUAAUACUGUUUCUGAACAGGGUAGAUAAGUGUUUUUCUUGCUGGUUUUUUUCCACUCAAAUCUUACUCUUGCUUUUCCUGUUUUAAAUUGUAUUUCUUCUGGUGUCUACAGAAACUUCAGGUAUGUCUUUCAUCUGUGCUUUAGUAAACUCCUUUUAGGCUUUAAUUGCUCUGGUAAGUCACAUAUGAAAAGUAUAAAUUAGAGUAGGUGAGAUCUUGCAUAUUUUUGUGACCAACAUUAAUUCAGAAAUUCAUUUAUUAAAGUGGCUUAAAGCCUCCUGAGCUUUGUGUGAAAUUAAUUUUAAACCACUGUGGAUGUGUCUCUGGAUGUGUCUGUGGCAUGUUCUAUUCAUGCAAAAGUGUUGUAGGGCUUGUUAACAUACACCAUCCUUUCUAGUUUGCCAACUUGCCUGCUGUUUGUUGAUGAAGAAUACAGUGCCAACCUCUGACAGCCAAAGCUCAAGUACUUUUUUUUAAAAAAAAAAAACAAACCAAAAUCAAACCAAACUCUUCACCAAGCUGGCAGUUCCUCAUUGUUAAAGUUUUGUGAAAAUGGCAAUACAUGGAGAAUGAGCUCGAAGGAGGACGAGGAGGAAGAAUUCUCUGCAACAGGUAAUUUUCAUCAGUCAUUAAUUUUGGUGGUAUGGAAAAGAAUGAGAAAAGAUGGAGAAGCAUAUUGUGUGCUUGUGGGAUAGGGAGGAGGGUCUUCUGCAUAGGCUUUUCUUAAAUAUUGACUGCCACCUUCUUCCAUCUCUUCUUAACACUUCCAUUCUUGUCUAGUUAUAGAAGUGGAUGAUGAAAACCAGCUUUUUGUGUAACUUGAGAGCUGAGUUGAUUAUCUUGAUAAUGCCCCCAGCUGAUGUGGCUUGGUUAACUGCUUUACUUGCCUGCUGUAGUUUCUUUCUUGUGGUAACAAAGAUAAUUAGUAAGGUAGGAGGUGUAGGAGCAUAUGCACAAAGCAGAACAUACAGGAGUGUUGCCAACAGCCCAUGAGGUGCCCUUGCAUCAAAUACACAAAUACAGAAACAUCUGGUGCAGAGGUGUGACAAGGCAGUUUGCGUGUUUAGGGCCGUUUACAAGGAUGAGCUUUGUUUGUCACUGCAGAAAGGAGUAAAUAAAUCUUGGACAGCUACUCCUGUAGAUGUACUAAACAGAUUAGAGAUCACUCUUGCCCCUUGUUGAAUUAAUUUAUUGUCUGGCUGUGGAUAAAAAUCAGAAUCUUUGAAACAUUAUAACUUUUUAAGCUGUCCAGGAGUUAAUUUUCAUUUGUAGUCACUCAUACACCCCCAUUGGAGAACUAAAUUUGAGAUUAGUCCUAAGGUGACAUUGGGGCUUGCUGGCAUUCAAACACAAUUUCUGCUUGUAUAAAAGCAGAAAACUAAUUGAAGGCUGACACUGUAAUUUAAGUCUCUGAACUACUGACAAAAAGAUCUUGCAUCAUGCAGAGAAGUAACAUACAAUCAAACAGACCUAGAAACAGGGUUCUGCUAAUGUAUGCUGAAGAACUACUUUGCUAUGGCAUGUCUUAGUGUGUACAAGCUGUUCUGUAUAAGCAGCUUCAGCUAAGAAUUGAGAUUCUGUUGCUAAUUUUGCUAAUUGCUAAUUUCCUUUUUUAUUUUCUAUCCACAGAUCAUGUCUUUCACUAAGAGGAAACUUGUCAAGAUAAUUGCCCUUAACUAUCGUACCUUGAAGGAGCACGUACAAAACUGAUCUUAAAGAAGAGAGAGUGAUUCGUAUUUGAAAUAACUACCAGAGAAGGAAAAAUCAAGGAACACAUUUUUGAGGAUAAACUACAGAAGAAAUAAAGACUUAAGUCCAUUAAGAGGCUAUCGUUAAUCAGUAAAAAGGCACAGCUGGUGGAAGGAGAAAAAGAGUACUUGGUAGAGAAGAAAACUGCAGAGAACACUUCGGUUCUUAAAGGAACACAUGUCAUGUAGACUUUUGAACUACUUCAGUGAUGUGUUCUGACUUCUCUCCAGGAAACAGGUGUUUCUGCAGUAUUCAGAAUUGGGUCAGCCUUCUGUUAGUAAGUUCUGGCCUGUUCCUUGCUCUGUGUUUAUUUCUAUCUACAAGUUGUGAUUUUGCGUCUGUUUAAGCAGGAAUAACUCAUAGGGCUCAUGGAAGAAAAUUGCAAGGCUAUUCUAAAAGGGCAAGGCUACUCAAAGGAUCUUUAAUAUUCCAGCCCCUUGUUCUAAUGGGGCAGGUGGAGAGAAGAGCAGCAGUCUGGUGGUGAUGCCCAGAUGCAGCUGAGGAAGGUGUGUUUUACACUAGGCGUAGGUACCAAGUAAAUCUGUUGUGGACUGUUGACUCUGUAAAAGCUGCAUUUCUUCAACAAACCAUGUAUCAUUCGUUUCUAAAUGUGCUGAUAGGGUGUAUAUGAGAGGAUAAUCUCACUCUGUGCGAGGUAUACUAAAUAUAUCUGGUAGGAAACACUAAUAUUAUAAUGAGGUUUUAAAAUUGACGAUCUUAUGAGUUGUAUAAGAACCUUGUUACUCUUGUAUAAAUCAACUACUUUAUCAGAGAUAAAAUGACAUCUUCUUGGAUUUUACAGUGGCUUUUGUCUUUAUAAAUGAGUAUCAUUAUCUUAAAACUAUAAAAUAAAGUUUCAGUGCAGUGUUAUUUUACUGAAUAAGGUGCAUAAUUCUGGUUAUGCUUUGCAGUAGCUCUCAAAUUUUGUUAGUGCGUCUAAUCACAAGGAGUAUUUUUCAACAUUCUUUAGAAUGCUGCCUCAUCCUAGUGUUAAACUUGGGUAAUUCUUUUUAUUAAAACUGUUCAGAUGAAAAUGUGUACCUGGUUUCUUUGCCUUUUCUUAAAGGGCUCUUUAGGUAUCUGAUGAAGUCUCGAAGCUGUGCUUCCCUCCCUCCUUUUUUCAUAACAUGCUAAUGUGGUUAUAGCUCUAACCUUCCAAUUUACUUACUGCCUACUACCCUUUAAACAGUUCUUUUUUUCUUAAGUGACACUCAGCCUACUUAGUGCUUGUGUUUCAGGGCUUAUCUUCUGUCUCAUGUGUACACAAACUGAUUGUAUUUGGGGACAAGUGACCUUCUUGUACUACUGCUCAGAAUAUGAUGAAAAAUUCCUGCCCCCAAGACUAAAUAAUUCAUCUUCAUCUCUGAAGAUCAAGGCUUUGGUAUAGAGCAACACCUUUGUGUUUGUGCAGGUCACAGCUGUGCAAACAGGAACCUUGGCAUGAAUAACUCAAAUAUUUGCACUAAAAAACCCUGCAACCAGCAGCAUUUAAGUUUUAGUAGACUUUUGGAUCCUUCUGUCAAGAUGAAAAUGCAGCAUAUCAGUGCCAGGUAUCCAAGAUCCAGCCCUGGAUAGCCUUCCAGUCUGGUGUUUUUCUUGCCUCUUCAUGACCUCGUGUCUUGAGCAGCCUAGCUGGAUCCCCUGGUUCCUGUUUCUUCUUGUUUCAAAAUUCUGCUUUUCCCCCAUUUUAAAUCCCCUACCCUUUCGUAUUCACAUACAGACACUUGCCUUUUGCUGCCUGUUUUGGUCUUUGCUGUUUUUCCUAAGACUUUGGUUGGGUUCCAUCCAAGAUUUUCCAUGUGGCACUGUUCUGCUGGAUUUCCUGCAGAAUACCUCAGUCAUGCUUCUGAAUUUUUAGGGACCUGAGGGUCCUUGUCCACAUUUCUUGUUCUACUACUUUGUCUCUCUCUGAGUAGGCAUUGCGGAAGAAGUUAAGGCUGUAUCUUCUGCUACUUUACUUAAAAAGCAAAUACAGGAACUUCUUUAAAGAAGCUACAGAGCUUGUGGAUUGUGGGGGAUAAGCAAAGUGAAAGUGUACUGGAGGUAAAAAAAAAAAAAAUUCAAACACGCCCCCCUCCCCAAGCAACACUUCUGCUCUCAGACAUGUUUAGAUUCACGAGAUGUUUGUUCUGCCCCUUUCUGUCCUAAUUAGGAAAUGCAGCCUCAUGCUUCCAGGCUGAAUGUAGUUCUUCCUUUUUCCACCCCCUUCCCCUCUUCUGUCAAGUUACCUCUGUAUUUCUGUUCCAUUUUGUAUUAUUUUGAUGAGCAAGUGCUCAGCUGUGGAAUCCCUUGCGCUCUACACCAGGAGAGAAUCACUGCUGAAUAGAACGUGUCUUAUACUCAUCUGAAACAUGUUUUAUUUUCUUGUGUAAAACACUCCCUUAAAAGGACUUUUUUUUUUUUUUUUUUUUUUUGGAAAUGGUUAUGAAUCUCUUCAGUUAUCUGGUCGCUCCUUUGCUAAUGGUUUCAAACAAGUGUGUGUGUAUUGUGAUCUUCUCUGGCUCAAAGUGAGGCAUUUGGGGGAAAAUACCAACUUUUAGUGUCUUUUGGCGUUCAUGUGUCAGCAGUUCAGGUUGAUUUCAGUGUGUGCAAAUUUAAAGUGUUGAUACCCUCAAAGUUUUAAUUUUUUGUGCUAUUGCUGUGUUGUAGUUUAGCAAGGACUAAAAAUAGUAGUUUGACUUUCCAUUCAGAUACAAACCAGGAACAUAUUAUCAUAAUACAUUACAAAAAUAAUUAAAUGUAAAGCUGUUAUGUCUGAAUUUCUGGUUGCGUAAAACACUUCUUUUGCUUCAUUCUUCCUGUGUGAAUCCUUUUUGGGGGGAAUGGGCAUGUGGCUCAGGGGGAAAAAAUAUACAAUGCUUUUCUUAUGGUAAUUGAGUAAGAUUUGUCAUCGGAAUUCGUAAGGACGUGUCUGUUUCUGUGUAUGAAAUAAAAUAGUAAAACAGGCUUUGUGAAGUUUUGAAAUUAAAUAUUUUUAACUUCAAACAUAGCAUUUGCUGAGUGUAUAAGUAGUGUGUUUGCUUUUUUGAGUUUAGAAUGUGGGAUUGAAGUUUUUACCAUAGUUGUGUGAACUGACAUUUUCAUGGGAAUUCUCAUCUGGGAGAUCUCUCAAUGGUUUCAUGUUUCUUUGUAUGUUUUGGUAACAUAGAUCUAUCCAAAUAAAACACUUCCCAUUGUUGGUGAGUCUAAAAGAUAUAUUUUUAUAAACAAUGUAACUUUAUUGCCUGAUACUUUUACAGUGCUGAAACUUUAAAGCUAAUUUGGGAAUAAUUGCAACUUUGUUCCUUUUUUUCUUG